CUCUCUCUCUCGUACGCGCCGAUAUAGAAUCACAGCCCGGUCGGCGGGAGCCCCGCAGCGGGCGAAGUUCUCCGGUCGACACGAGGCGGACGAGCAGCUCACCUCGCCGCCCGGUGAGGAAGAGAGAAGAGCUCGGGCGGAGACUGCAGUGUUUAACUGCCGCACCAUCAAAGGCACCAUAUACCCCCGGUUUAUCCUCAAUAAACCAGCUGUUUUGGAACAUUCUGGCGCUGUGUGGUCUCCCCAUGACGGCGGCGGAGACUGGGAGUCAUUCCAGAGUGUAGCAGGUCUGAGUUGUGAGAGGAUGAGAAAUCCCAGCCAGCUGUGAAACCUUAAAAAGCUGGACCGAGUGAGAUUGUUAUGUAAAACACCCCCUUUUAAUCUGCCAGGAAUCAAACAGUCGGGUUUGAUAUAUAGAGGAGAUCCUCCCUUUUCUGCACUAAUUAAAUCCUGGUGUCAGGAUGGGAGUGAGCAGGAAAUUGCCCCACUUGUGGAGGCGGAAAAAUCCAGGAAAUGACAAAUUUUUGACACAGAAGGAAAAAAGUAGUGUGUGAGGAUUUGUUUUCUGUUACACACAGCAGCACGUUAAUGUUGUGGUACUUAUAGUUACCAAACCAAAUAUCUCCCAGGGCCAAAAUGAAGAGUUAGGAGUUGAAAUACAUAAAGAACUAGCAAGAUUGAAUAAUUACAAUAAUGCCCCAGAUUGCUGCUCUCAUGUAUUGCCUUUGCAUUUGAGUCACAGAGCUAAGCAUUCAAUUAAAUGUUAUGUUUUGUGGCUUUGAAAAACCGAGCUGGUCCUCUAACAGCACUUACCGCUGUUUUUGAAGAUAUUUCCGGAUUCCUCGAGGACUCUUCAAACCGUCAGGAUGAAAAAUACAUUCUCUCUGUUAUCCACUAAAAAAGAUUCAAAACUGGUUUUCCUAAGUUGUUUUUCCUCCUAAGAACAGAGACGACGGCCAGACAUCCUCGCUCGACUUGUGCAACACAACACAACACCCCCCAAAAAAAAUGUAUGAUCAGUAUUCUUUUCAACCGUAUUUAUUUUCAGACACAGUAACAUGCAAAUGUUUUGUUUGUGUUUUCAUAAACAGAACGAGGAGUUGUGUCGUCUCCAGCUUCCUGUGUUGUGGAAAUAAAGCUGCAACUUAAUGAAAAAAAAAAAAAAAAGAAGUAAUUCUGUAGUGCAGCCAUCCCAAAGGUUUCAAUUAGUUUCAAUGAGGCAAAACAGCUUGUCGGGCCUUUAUGUGAAAUCUAAAGGAGGCAUUUCUUUCACAUGUCAGAACUGGGUCUUUUAAUGAUGAACGGGCCUCACUUUACCCAUCGGCAGUGUUGUAAAACAUAACUAAAAGUCACCCCCAUUAAGAGUACUUGAGUAAAAAUCUGAUAUUAAAUGUAGCAAAAUGUA
Long non-coding RNA from Acanthopagrus latus (yellowfin seabream), 1405 nucleotides. RefSeq lists it as uncharacterized. The record is from RefSeq and is a predicted model, not a curated record. NCBI's taxonomy places the organism in Eukaryota, Metazoa, Chordata, Actinopteri, Spariformes, Sparidae. The transcript has 3 exons.